Long non-coding RNA from Salvelinus fontinalis (brook trout), 10074 nucleotides. RefSeq lists it as uncharacterized. The transcript has 2 exons. NCBI's taxonomy places the organism in Eukaryota, Metazoa, Chordata, Actinopteri, Salmoniformes, Salmonidae. The record is from RefSeq and is a predicted model, not a curated record.
GGGGGGAGGGGGGGGGGGAAUAUGUAAUCAACUCGGGGCCGACUAUCCUUUUGGGGGCUCCAAGCGAGAUUUGGUUGCCCCCUUGCAGCAAAUCAUUAGUUUUAGUGGCCUCCCUCUUAAAAGUGGGGAUAAUGCGUUUUAAAAAUGAAUUUCCUGCAAUUCUACACCUUUUUGCCAUGGGGCAGAGAAACCUUGCAACUUUAUAACAAAUGUUAUGCUUUUUCUAGACAUGAUUUAUGCCACAUUAAUAGAAUAUCUGAGAAAGAAUGGUUUUGUUAGUCAAUAGGGAAAGUCAGGGCCCCUGGACACGUGCCCAGUCGCUAGUCGGACUGAAGUUUAGAUCAAAAUUAAGUGACUGCCAGUGACAAGAGUAUAACUGCUGAUGCACAACCAAAUUGUGAAAGUGAGGAGUGGGGCAUAUUAGCAGAAAAUGAAAGCUCUUACAAUAUUUGAUGAUUACAUUUCUCUAAAACAGGCUAUAAACUACAUGUGCACCACCAAGUCAGUACAGUAGGCGAAAUUAAGAGGGGAAAAUAGACCAAAUUAUCAGGGUGAGACAUUGGCUACUAACAUCUACACAACAUACACUUUGCAUUACUUUCUUAGCUACAGUAUACAUAUCUCCCUGGCAAAUGUAAUAAUUUAUACAGCAGCAUACAAUACAUUUUUGCACUCACCUGGUUGUGCUGUGCUCACAGGAAGGUGGCGCAGUGGUCCUUCGUGGGCAAAUUGUCAUCAAAGUUGCAGGCAAUCUCAAUGCUGUGCCUUACAGGGAAGACAUCCUCUUCCCUCAUGUGGUACCCUUCCUGCAGGCUCAUCCUGACAUGACCCUCCAGCAUGACAAUGUCACCAGCCAUACUGCUUGUUCUGUGUGUGAUUUCCUGCAAGACAGGAAUGUCAGUGUUCUGCCAUGGCCAGUGAAGAGCCCGGAUCUCAAUCCCAUUGAGCACGUCUGGGAUCAGAGGUUGAGGGCUAGGGCCUCUCCCCCCAGAAAUGUUCAGGAACUUGCAGGUGCCUUGGUGGAAGAGUGGGGUAGCAUCUCACAGCAAGAACUGGAAAAUCUGAUGCAGUCCAUGAGGAGAUGAUGCACUGCAGUACUUAAUGCAGCUGGUGGCCACACCAGAUACUGACUGUUACUUUUGAUUUUGACCCCCCCCCCCCCCCCUUAGUUCAGGGACACAUUAUUCCAUUUCUGUUAGUCACAUGUCUGUGGAACUUGUUCAGUUUAUGUCUGUUGUUGAAUCUUGUUAUGUUCAUACAAAUAUUUACACAAAUAUUUACACAAGUUUGCUGAAAAUAAACGCAGUUGACAGUGAGAGGGGAGAGAAACCUCUGCCUGGCCUUAAGUCCACAAACAUGUUACAUGUAACAAAAGUUACUUGACCUACAGCAUGGUCAAGAAUGUAAGGUUUCGAACUACUAAACAUUUCAAAUAUUUUUUAUAUAAUAACCCAAAUGGAUUAAGCGUUGCCCCUCAGUGUCAUUCAUAGUAAAACUUUUUUUUCUAUUGAAAUUCAUUGUGGAGAGCUCCUUUAUACCUUUUUUUUUUUUGCUGAGUUUAUCUGUAUUCCCAGUCAUGUGAAAUCCAUAGACUAGGGCCUAAAUAAAAAAAAUGUAAUUGACUGAUUUUCCUUAAAUGAACUGUAGUUUAGUAAAAUCUUUGAAAUUAUUGCAUGUUGCGUUUUUGUAAAUGUUCAGUGUAUUUUGAUGAGUUAGCAAUUAUGCAUAUACAAAUCCUUUUCAACUUAUUUCCUCUGAUUUUGAAGGCAUGACAGAUCUAGUGCCAACGGUGUGUUAGGAAGAAGUUCUUCUUGUUCGGGAAAGUGGUCAAAACCACAUGAAGAUCUGGUGUAUUCUCAAGAACUCCAGAGGAAUGUCACCCUUAGUACACCAGUUACAUAUUUACAAGUGCAACAAUGAAUCAAAUGUUAUAGUAGAAAAGUUCAAGUCUGAAUUGUUAAGUAUAGAAAGCUACUGAAUCGAAUAGGUCUGAAUUGUCAAUAACAGACUCAUCGUAUGUAAUCACCUUUGUCAACCAUGAUCCUGUUUUCAGAGUAGAAUAAGCUGUCUAUUAAGACCUAUGUCAUCGGUGGAGACACGUCCUCCAUAGCGGGUCAGAGUGUCCUGGACCUGGAGAACCCAGAGGCCAAUGGACAGAUGUAUGACCAGUGGGUCUGCUCUGUCAAGGACUUCCCUCGGGUCAUUAACAUGAAGGUAGCAUAAUCAAAUUUUAUUAGUCACAUGCACUGAAUACAACAGGUGUAGACCUUGGUGAAAUGCUUACUUCCGAGCCACUAACCAUUAAUGCAGUUUAAAAAAAUACAGAUAAGAGAUAAAAGUAACAAGUAAUUUAAAGAGCAGCAGUGAAAUAACAAUAGCGAGACCAUAUACAGGGGGUACCGAUACAGAGUCACAGUGCGGGGGCACCAGUUACUUGAGGUAGUAUGUACAUGCAGGUGUUCAGGAGUCUUAUGGCUUGGGGUAGAAGCUGUUUAGAAAUCUCUUGGACCUAGACUUGGCACUCCGGUACCGCUUGCCGUGUGGUAACAGAGAGAACAGUCUAUGACUAGGUUGGCUGGAAUCUUUGACAAUUUUUAGGGCCUUCCUCUGACACGGCCUGGUAUAGAGGUCCUGGAUGGCAGGAAUCUUGGCCCUAGUGAUGUACUGGGCCAUUCGCACUACCCACUGUAGUCCUUGCGGUCGAAGGCCGAGCAGUUGCCAUACCAGGCAGUGAUGCAACCGGUCAGGAUGCUCUCAACGGUGCAGCUGUAGAACCUUUUGAAGAUCUGAGGACCCAUGCCAAAUCUUUUCAGUCUCCUGAGGGGGAAUGGGUUUUGUCGUGCCCUCUUCACGACUGUCUUGGUGUGCUUGGAGCAUGUUAGUUUGUUGGUGAUGUUGACACCAAGGAACUGGAAGCUCUCAACCUGCUCCGCUACAGCCCCGUUGAUGAGAAUGGGGGCGUGCUCGGUCCUCUUUUUCCUGGAGUCCACAAUCAUCUCAUUUGUCUUGAUCACGUUGAGGGAGCGGUUGUUGUCCUGGCACCACACGGCCAGUUCUCUGACCUCCUCCCUAUAGGCCGUCUCAUCGUUGUCGGUGAUCAGGCCUACCACUGUUGUGUCAUCGGCAAGUUUAAUGAUGGUGUUGGAGUCGUGCCUGGCCGUGCAGUCAUGAGUGAACAGAGAGUACAGGAGGGGACUGAGCACGCACCCCUGAGAGGCCCCUGUGUUGAGGAUCAGUGUGGCGGAUGUUGUUACCUACCCUUACCACCUGGGGGCGGCCCGUCAGGAAGUCCAGGAUCCAUUUGCAGAGGGAGGUGUUUAGUCCCAGGGACCUCAGCUUAUUGAUGAGCUUUGAGGGCACUAUGGUGUUGAACGCUGAACUGUAGUCAAUGAAUAGUAUUCUCAAAUAGGUGUUCCUUUUGUCCAGGUGUGAAAGGGCAGUGUGGAGUGCAAUAGAGAUUGCAGCAUCUGUGGAUAUGUUGGGGCAGUAUGUAAAUUGGAGAGGGUCUAGGGUUUCUGCGAUAAUGGUGCUGAUGUGCGCCAUGACCAGCCUUUCAAAGAAUUUCAUGGCUACAGAUGUGAGUGCUACGGGUCGGUAGACGUUUAGGCAGGUUACCUUAGUGUUCUUGGGCACAGGGACUAUGGUUGUCUGCUUAAAAUAUGUUGGUAUUACAGACUCAGACAGGGAGAGAUUGAACAUGUCAGUGAAGACACUUUCCAGUUGGUCAGCGCAUGCUCGCAGUACACCUCCUGGUAAUCCGUCUGGCCCAGCCGCCUUAUGAAUGUUGACCUGUUUGAAGGUCUUACUCACAUCGGCUGCGGAGAGCGUGAUCACACAGUCUCCCGGAACAGCUGGUGCUCUCAUGCAUGUUAGUGUUAUUUGCCUCGAAGCGAGCAUAGAAGUAGUUUAGCUCAUCUGGUAGGCUCGUGUCACUGGGCAGCUCUCAGCUGUGCUUCCCUUUUGUAGUCUGUAAUGGUUUGCAAGCCCUGACACAUCCAACGAGCAUCCAUCUCCUAUCAUUAUAACCUUUUUAGUCAUAAUAUAUAUAUAAACAAACUUUUGUCGGGAUGACAUGUUAUACUAUAUCAUGUCCACCCAUAUUGUAAACUUUAAAAAAAUAUAUAAAGGUUCUUCCCCAGCUUUUUAGGUUCCUUGGAUAACUUUUGCCCAAUAAAGAACCUUUGCAUUAAGUGUGGGGUUCUUGACGUGGCAUUUGUUAUUCAGAAUUCUAAAAGGUUCUUGAAAUACAUACUGUAGAUGCCUGCAGAUGUGUCUCUUUCAUAGCACACAGAAAAUUGACCAGUGUUAACUAAUGUUUUCAGUGUAACAUUUAUAGUGAUGAUUCAAGAGUUCAAUUAACAUUCAGUGGUGUAAAAGAACCCCAGUGUUGGUGUUAAUAACCAGAGUUGAACCAAAGCCAUGCCCAUCGUUAUCAUAUUUUCCAGCAUGCUCUAUUGCAGAUUUUUUGUUGUUUGUUUCAACGUCUAUGUUUUUGUAUGUACAUUGAUUACUUAACCGUACGCAAUUUUUAAAAACCAUUCCCAUCUGUUGGACUUAUUGCAACCGUUACUGAAAUGGAUUUUCCAGUUUAGAUGUUUAAGGUAGUAGCAUAUCUUAGUCUUCCCAACCCUGGCAAUCUUUCUGAUUGGAGGUUGCUGGUGAUUACACAUUCAAAAUUCUGGAUAUCCCCAUUCUGGCUGGAUUCAAAUAGGACCACUGUAUUAAGGUAAAACUAUAGUCUCAAAAGAAGGCCUUAUUGAAACAUGUUUUGUCUUAAAGAAUUGAAUUUGAAUGAUUACACUAACCUAGGAUCUCACUUGGUGAAAGCCACAGGACUGAAAAUGAAUGCAACAACCAUGUCUCUGACACUAGCAAGCACAGACAUGGAUGGUACUGGUAACUCAAAAAUUCACUUGAAAGGCACCCUGGGAAAUAUGCAAAUAAUGCUUAAAACCCUAGAGCAGGGCUAUUAAAUUCCGGUUCUAAAGGUCUGAAACAUUUCUGUUUUUUGAUGGUUUAUUAUUCUUUAGACACCCUCACCCUAACAUGGUUCCAAUGACAUCGCUCUCAAUAACCUUAUUUGGUUCCAACUUGCACCUUUAUUUUUAAGAGCGUAGCUGCGACCAAUGUAUGAGCUGGAGAAGGAGGUGCAGUAUGCCGAGCUGAAGAAGCUCCUUCUCAUGAGAGCUACAGAGGAGUCCCUGGCAGAGGAACAUCCCUGCCACAACAACGGGCAGCUCCUGCUAACUGGAACAGUGUAAAUGUUAUUUUAAUGUUAUUAUUACUUGUACUUUUGAACCCUUUUUUUGUUUUUAUCCCCAAUUUCGUGAUAUCCAAUUGGUAGUUAAUCUUAGCCCAUCGCUGCAACUCCUGUACGGACUCUGGAGAGGCGAAGGUCGAGAGCCAUGCGUCCUCCGAAAAACACAACCCCACCAAGCCGCACUGCUUCUUGACACACUGCUCGCUUAACUCUGAAGCCAGCCCACCAAUGUACCAAACACCGUACAGCUUGCGACCCGAAGUCAGCGUGCAUGCGCCUGGCCACCACGAGUCGCUAGAGUGCGAUGGGACAAGGACAUCCCAGCCGGCCAAACCCUCCCCUAACCCGGAAAACUCUGGGCCAAUUGUGCGCCGUCUCCCGGUCACGGCCGGUUGCGGCACAGCCCGGGAUCGAACCCUGAACUGUAGUGAUGCCUCUAGCACUGCAAUGCAAUGCCUUAGACCGCUGCGCCACUCGGAAGGCCAGCACAUUCUAAAUAUGUCUGCAGGUCUGGCACCUCAGGCCCUGGCUGUGAAAGUGGCACUCAUUAGAGAGCAGCCAGAUUGCACACUUCAUGUAAUUUAGGGUUGUUUAAUAUUUUGUUCACUGGCACUGUAUUGUUCCUAUUGCCCCUUGCCUCUGACACUUGGCCAGCAGGAUUUCAGAUCAAUGUAUAUAGUUGUACAUUUAUGCAUAAUGAUUGUAAAUGUGAUAUUUUGGGUAUGUGUUUUAUAAUGGGUGAUCCAUGGGAGCUGUAGCUGCUGGUUGUCAUGGGGAUCCUGUUCUCAGGGUCAAAUGUCAAGGCGAGGGGGAGCCUCCCUUGUGUGAGCUGCCCACAGAACACACGUCCUGUUAAGUGCCAGACCUACAACAUUUACAGUGAGGAAACUUGACCGAGCAGCUGUCAUCGAAUUUGAUAAACUUAUCAGUCAUGUGAGGACUCACUUGAAGUGUAAGAGGAAUGGGAGAUGGAGUAAUACAGUGCUAAGGCUCAUAGAGAGAACUGGAUACUAUUAUGAAUUGUGUGGUGAGCCUUCUGGAGCCAAGAGCCGCUGAGGCAUCCCCCAAGCGUGUGCUUCACAGAGUGGAAGGCAAGAAGUCCAGUGGCUAUAUGACUCAGGCUGGUUCCCAGACUUGCCCUUUACAAUAUCAUCAGCAGACUCCAUCACUAUCAUUUGACCAGCUCCUUCCGCUCAAGCCGUCAACUGACUAAUUUAUCUGCAUCUCCAGCCCGUAUUUAUCCUGACAAUGAAGUGUUUCGCAAUUUUUCGUUCCGGGGCUAGAAGCAGAAUAGAAAACAAUUUGACAUAAAUAGUUGCAUUCAUUAGUUUUGACAAAUGUCAAUUGAAAAAAUAAGGUCAGACAAAGCAAAAACCUGAAAUGAUUUUAUAUAAAUGCUGUAAGUACAGAAAUUGUAUGGUCACUGGGAAAUUAAUAUCUAACUAGUCAGUGACAACUGUGGGGCAGUUGGAGUUUGACAGCAGCUGUGAGCUUAUUACAGUUUUGUAGACACUAUGUUCUGGGAUUUCCUAUGAUCUUGGGACAGCGGUCGGUUGUGAGUGAAUGUAUUAAUGUCUUCUGUUUUUAGUGUAUGCAACAUGGACUGACUGGUUUAAAUAUGUAUGAUGUGACAAUGGAUUUGAUCCUUUUUUAAUGGAAGGUGAUACCAAAGAAAAAUUGUAUUCUAUGGACAGUACCUUCAGAAAGUAUUCACACCCCUUGAAUUUUUCCACCUUUUGUGUUACAGCCUGAAAUUUAAAUUGAGAGUUAGUGUCACUGAUCUUCACACAAUACCCCAUAAUGUCAAAGUGGAAUAUUGUUUUUAGAAUUUUUUUCAAAUAAAUAUUUAUUUUUUUAAAGCUGAAAUGUCUUGAGUCAUUAAGAGUUUAACCCCUUUGUUAUAUCUAUCCUAAAUUGGUUCAGGAGUAAAUGUCCGCUUAACAAGUCACAUUAGUUCAAUAAUAGUGGUUAACAUGAUUUUCAAAUGACUACUUCAUCUCUGUAUCCCACACACACAAUUAUCUGUAAGGCCCCUCAAAUGAGUAGUGAAUUUCAAGCACAGAUUAAACCACAAAGACCAGGGAGGUGUUUUAAUGCCUCGCAAAGAAGGGCACCUAUUGGUAGAUGUGUAAAUAGAUAAAAAGCAGAUGCUGAAUAUUCCUUUGAGCAUGGUGAAUUUAUUAUUUAGGCUUCAGAUGGUGUAUACAUCGAGACAGAUCCUCAGGUAGGCGGGGCCUCAGGUACUUGACCUGUCACCACAUACACUGAGUCUAAGCACACCUUAGCACAUUAGCUCCAGUUAAAAUAAACUCAGAGUUGAGACCCAUAUCAGAGUAUUGGGGCUGACUGUGUUUGUCUGCAGGAUAAUGGAGCCUCAGUGUUUUGGUCUUUCUAUGUCCACACAUGAUGUGGAGCCCUGUCAGCCCUUAGGACUGGUUUUGUCCUGGUAAUGUUUACUAAAUGAUCCAUGAGUAUCUAGAGACCCAGAGAUGAAUACCUUGUGGGCAGUAAGAUUGAGUAAUCCUGCAUAGAGGGCCACUGGUUGUCAGUGUACUCUGUUGCAUAGUGCAUUGAUAACCAGAGCUGGACCAGAGUAACAAUGUAAUGCAGGAGUAGGUACUCAAAGGUAACACAUUCAAUUUGGGCAUUACAAUCCUGAGAAGGAAGUUGAGGUCUGCAUCUUUAAAACACAUGGAGAAUAGUAAGACACUUCAUUAUUUCUAUAACUAUGCUAUAUUGUUUGUCCUCGUGUGUCUGUCCAUGUUUUUCCAGUAUAAAGUACUCUGCAGCCACUUAGUGUGGACACCAGGUGAGGCCACACACAGAUUCCUGUUGAACACUGUCUCUUUAACUACCUUAUUUUCUCAAUAACAGUCUCUCUCCUUUGUUUCAUCCCUCUCUCCUCUUCUCCCUAAAUACUCUAGGUUAUAUCAGCUGUGUCAGUGAGCCCCUCCCGCAUCUGAACUGGCUACAUAGACGGCACAACAUGAUCAGAGAUAUGUUUUGAUGUGAGAGAGGAUGCCAACCCCCAGUCCCAUCAUCGCCACCUCACGAGCUUUUAAGAUAAACGUCUAGUCGGCCAGAAGGUUAGGUAAUUGUGAUGAACUGAGAGAAUAUUAGGGUAGCACUGUAAUUCAUUAAUCAUAUCCUGUAUUCCCUGCUCCUCUGUUCUUAGCACUUUCCCUUUCUCUCUUUUACACCUCUUUUACCACCUCUUUCUUCCUGUUUUCAUAAUGCAUAACAGAUGUACAUUGAGGUACAGAUUGAACUUGUAUUUAUAACACUUGGAUAAUGAACUUUUUUCAAUUAAGCAUUUCACAUUCUCUACUGGUUGAAAUUAAGUCUAUCACUUGAUGAAAUACUACACCUGUCCUGUGUAUCAGAGCAAUGCAGAUGAAGGACAUUAGAUAUUGAGAUGAACCGGUUUUAGAGUAUUUACAUGAUGCAUAGGAAGUGUAGUGUAUGGCUUUUUAAAUUAUAUUUCUGUAUAUAUGAAUUACAAAUCAACCUUUAACUUAACUAGUUAAAUCCUGUUUCUAGUCUAUUAGUUACAAUGUGUAAUCAUUGAUGUCCCAGGACCAAGAUUGGUAAACACUGUUGAAGUGUGGAAUUGUAAUACAUACAGUUGAAGUUGGAAGUUUACAUGCACUUAGGUGGGAGUAAUUAAAACUCGUUUUUCAACCACUCCACAAAUUUCUUAACAAACUAUAGUUUUGGCUAGUUGGUUAGAACAUCUACUUUGUGCAUGACACAAGUAAUUUUUACAACAAUUGUUUACAGACAGAUUAUUUCACUGUUUUGUAGACCUUCACAAGUCUGAUUCAUCCUUGGGAGCAAUUUCCAAACUGCUGAAGGUACCACAUUCAUCUGUACAAACAAUAGUAUGCAAGUAUAAAUACCAUGGGACCACGCAGCCGUCAUACCGCUCAGGAAGGAGAUGCGUUCUGAUGCUAGAGAUAAACGUACUUUGGUGAGAAAAGUGCAAAUCAAUCCCAGAUCAACAGCAAAGGACCUUGUGAAGAUGCUGGAGGAAACAGGUACAAAAGUAUCUAUAUCCACAGUAAAACGAGUCCUAUAUCGACAUAACCUGAAAGGCCGCUCAGCAAGGAAGAAGCCACUGCUCCAAAACCGCCAUAAAAAAAGCCAGACUAUGGUUUGCAACUGCAUAUGGGGACAAAGAUCGUACUUUUUGUAGAAAUGUCCUCUGGUCUGAUGAAACAAAAAUAUAACUGUUUGGCCAUAAUGACCAUUGUUACGUUUGGAGGAAAAAGGGGGAAGCUUGCAAGCCGAAGAACACCAUCCCAACCGUGAAGCACGGGGGUGGCAGCAUCAUGUUGUGGGGGUGCUUGGCUGCAGGAGGGACUGGUGCACUUCACAAAAUGGCAUCAUGGGGAAGGAAAAUUAUUAUGUGGAUAUAUUGAAACAACAUCUCAAGACAUCAGUCAGGAAGUUAAAGCUUAGUCGCAAAUGACCCCAAGCAUACUCCCAAAGUUGUGGCAAAAUACCUUAAGGACAACAAAGUCAAGGUACUGGAGUGGCCAUCACAAAGCUCUGACAUCAAUCCUAUAGAAAAUUUGUGGGCAGAACUGAAAAAGCAUGUGCGAGCAAGGAUGCCUACAAACCUGACUCAGUUACACCAGCUCUGUCAGGAGGAAUGGGCCAACAUGUAUUGUAGGAAGCUUGUGGAAGGCUACCCAAAACAUUUGACACAAGUUAAACAAUUUAUAGGCAAUGCUACCAAAUACUGAUUGAGUGUAUGUAAACUUCUGACCCACUGGAAAUGUGAUGAAAGAAAUAAAAGCUGAAGUAAAUCA